Molecule: small RNA, 181 nt
Filed under: Gopherus agassizii (Agassiz's desert tortoise)
Lineage: Eukaryota; Metazoa; Chordata; Testudines; Testudinidae
Description: TUC338 (ENSGAGG00000014439.1)
Source: RNAcentral
CAGAUAGUCACUCAAGGGCUUUGUUUGCCCAUAACAAUCAGUGUACAUAUGCGUGGGUGGCAGCACUGCAAGCUUCCCCACACUAUCUUGCCAAUGUGCCUCUGACUUGAGGUGGAGGAAGAUCUCUCUGGAGGUGAGAAUAUAAUUCUAUCUUCAGUGGUCUAUUCAGUCUUGUGCUUGU